Molecule: ribosomal RNA, 658 nt
Filed under: uncultured fungus
Lineage: Eukaryota; Fungi
Description: eukaryotic LSU rRNA
Rfam family: Eukaryotic large subunit ribosomal RNA
Source: RNAcentral
CCCGCUGAACUUAAGCAUAUCAAUAAGCGGAGGAAAAGAAACUAACAAGGAUUCCCCUAGUAACGGCGAGUGAAGCGGGAAGAGCUCAAAUUUGAAAUCUGGCGGUCUACGGCCGUCCGAGUUGUAAUCUAGAGAGGUGUUUUCCGUGCCGGACCGUGUACAAGUCUCCUGGAACGGAGCGUCAUAGAGGGUGAGAAUCCCGUCUUUGACACGGACUACCAGGGCUUAUGUGAUGUGCUCUCAAAGAGUCGAGUUGUUUGGGAAUGCAGCUCUAAAUGGGUGGUAAAUUCCAUCUAAAGCUAAAUAUUGGCGAGAGACCGAUAGCGAACAAGUACCGUGAGGGAAAGAUGAAAAGAACUUUGGAAAGAGAGUUAAACAGUACGUGAAAUUGUUGAAAGGGAAACGCUUGAAGUCAGUCGCGUUGCCCAGAAAUCAACCUUGCUUUUGCUUGGUGUACUUUCUGGUUAACGGGUCAGCAUCAAUUUUGACCGGUGGAUAAAGGUCAGGGGAAUGUGGCAUCUUCGGAUGUGUUAUAGCCCUUGGUUGCAUACAUCGAUUGGGAUUGAGGAACUCAGCAUGCCGCAAGGCCGGGUUUUUAACCACGUACAUGCUUAGGAUGCUGGCAUAAUGGCUUUAAUCGACCCGUCUUGAAACACGG